RNAcentral lists this unclassified non-coding RNA (433 nucleotides) under soil metagenome. RNAcentral's name for it is "partial contains 5.8S ribosomal RNA, internal transcribed spacer 2, and large subunit ribosomal RNA". The stretch from base 2 to 119 matches the Rfam family "5.8S ribosomal RNA", at positions 37 to 154 of the family's 154-position model. The record is from RNAcentral.
GUGAAGAACGUAGCGAAAUGCGAUACGUAAUGUGAAUUGCAGAAUUCAGUGAAUCAUCGAAUCUUUGAACGCAUAUUGCGCUCUUUGGUAUUCCGAAGAGCAUGCUUGUUUGAGUAUCAGUAAACACCUCAAAGCUUUUGGAUUUUUUAAUCGAAAAGCUUUGGACUUGAGCAAUCCCAACACCAAUCUUUUUGAGAUCGGUGGCGGGUUGCUUGAAAUGCAGGUGCAGCUGGACAUUCUCCUGAGCUAAAAGCAUAUUCAUUUAGUCCCGUCAAACGGAUUAUUACUUUUGCUGCAGCUAACAUAAAGGGAGUUUGACCGUAUUGGCUGACUGAUGCAGGAUUUCACAAGGGUCGGCAACGAUUCUUGUUAAACUCGAUCUCAAAUCAAGUAAGACUACCCGCUGAACUUAAGCAUAUCAAUAAGCGGAGGA